RNAcentral lists this ribosomal RNA (497 nucleotides) under uncultured bacterium. RNAcentral describes it as "partial 16S ribosomal RNA". It matches the Rfam family "Bacterial small subunit ribosomal RNA", at positions 28 to 507 of the family's 1533-position model. The record is from RNAcentral.
GAUGAACGCUGGCGGCGUGCCUAAUACAUGCAAGUCGAGCGAACGGACGAGAAGCUUGCUUCUCUGAUGUUAGCUGCGGACGGGUGAGUAACACGUGGAUAACCUACCUAUAAGACUGGGAUAACUUCGGGAAACCGGAGCUAAUGCCGGAUAAUAUUUUGAACCGCAUGGUUCAAAAGUGAAAGACGGUCUUGCUGUCACUUAUAGAUGGAUCCGCGCUGCAUUAGCUAGUUGGUAAGGUAACGGCUUACCAAGGCAACGAUGCAUAGCCGACCUGAGAGGGUGAUCGGCCACACUGGAACUGAGACACGGUCCAGACUCCUACGGGAGGCAGCAGUAGGGAAUCUUCCGCAAUGGGCGAAAGCCUGACGGAGCAACGCCGCGUGAGUGAUGAAGGUCUUCGGAUCGUAAAACUCUGUUAUUAGGGAAGAACAUAUGUGUAAGUAACUGUGCACAUCUUGACGGUACCUAAUCAGAAAGCCACGGCUAACUACGUG